UACGGAGGAUGCGAGCGUUAUCCGGAUUUAUUGGGUUUAAAGGGUGCGUAGGCGGAAUAUCAAGUCAGCGGUAAAAAUUCGGGGCUCAACCCCGUCGUGCCGUUGAAACUGGCUGGCUUGAGUUGGGGAAAGGCAGGCGGAAUGCGCGGUGUAGCGGUGAAAUGCAUAGAUAUCACGCAGAACCCCGAUUGCGAAGGCAGCGUACCGGCCGGUCACUGACGCUGAGGCACGAAAGCGCGGGUAUCGAACAGG
RNAcentral lists this ribosomal RNA (252 nucleotides) under uncultured Bacteroidales bacterium. Its description in RNAcentral is "partial 16S ribosomal RNA". It matches the Rfam family "Bacterial small subunit ribosomal RNA", at positions 524 to 776 of the family's 1533-position model. The record is from RNAcentral. Lineage: Bacteria; Pseudomonadati; Bacteroidota; Bacteroidia; Bacteroidales.